Molecule: ribosomal RNA, 450 nt
Filed under: uncultured bacterium
Lineage: Bacteria
Description: partial 16S ribosomal RNA
Rfam family: Bacterial small subunit ribosomal RNA
Source: RNAcentral
GUGGGGAAUUUUGGACAAUGGGCGCAAGCCUGAUCCAGCAAUGCCGCGUGCAGGAAGAAGGCCUUCGGGUUGUAAACUGCUUUUGUACGGAACGAAAAGGCUCUGGUUAAUACCUGGGGCUCAUGACGGUACCGUAAGAAUAAGCACCGGCUAACUACGUGCCAGCAGCCGCGGUAAUACGUAGGGUGCGAGCGUUAAUCGGAAUUACUGGGCGUAAAGCGUGCGCAGGCGGUGCUGUAAGACAGGCGUGAAAUCCCCGGGCUCAACCUGGGAAUUGCGCUUGUGACUGCAGUGCUGGAGUGCGGCAGAGGGGGAUGGAAUUCCGCGUGUAGCAGUGAAAUGCGUAGAUAUGCGGAGGAACACCGAUGGCGAAGGCAAUCCCCUGGGCCUGCACUGACGCUCAUGCACGAAAGCGUGGGGAGCAAACAGGAUUAGAUACCCCUGUAGUCC